Molecule: long non-coding RNA, 988 nt
Filed under: Arabidopsis lyrata
Lineage: Eukaryota; Viridiplantae; Streptophyta; Magnoliopsida; Brassicales; Brassicaceae
Description: long non-coding RNA (ALYR_LNC003297)
Source: RNAcentral
AGCAAAAAAUAAAAAGAAAACUAGAUCAAAUGCACUUUUAAAUCAGAUAAUUUUACUUGUUUGAUACAUUGUUUGUUAAUUUACUAAGUCUUUUAAGUUAUAGUUUAAGAGUUUAAGAUAUAAAAAGUGAUAAAAUUCCAAAGAAGAUGAUAAUAAAAGCAACUAGACCAUUAUCAAUUUUUGAAAUGUGACCCCCAUUUCUGCUAAGGCUUUCUUUGUCCGACUCUGAUCAUUACAGUGGAUUGCAAAGGAAAGAAGAAUUGGUGAUACUGUUCCGCGGUUGGAAAACUAGCUCGCCAAAACAUACAUACUUUGUUUAAAGUCCUAAAAAUGUUUUUAUGUUCUUUGUUUAUUGUGAGUUUGUGACCUCUCUAUAACCUGAUAAACUCGAAACCAUACAAUGGAUUCAACUGCAAGCUAGAAUAGUAUUUGUAACAUCUACAUUAUUCCCAUUGGAAGGAGGAAAAGUAAUUUAAUUUUUAACUCCAAAUGGUAAACCAAUCGGGUUGAGAAGAAGCUAGGACCAAUUAAGCAAUUACGCUUUUGAGGACACACAAAGUGAAAGUUCAAAUUCUUUUUGGUAACAAUUAUAAUGUUGGUACUAACAAAAGUUAGUUAGAUAUAUAGUAGUGGUCUUUUAUUUUAUUUUUUUAAUUAUCACAGAUUCAUAAACUAACUUAGCCGGUUGAGUUGAAUCUUGUACACAUACAUGAUACAUGUACAUUAAUUGAGUAUAUAUCUAGAAUAAUUUUGUAUUUUAAUCUUGUUUCUGAAAUAUUUAAAUUCUUUAAAAGACUUAUUUUAAAAAAUAAAAAAUGGUGCGGGAAGAUAUUGCGUAAGCACACUAAUGUGAUGAAAGAUAUUGCGCAAGCACACUGUUACAAGAGAGAACUUAAAAUACAUCAGUCGACAAAUAGAGAAUUGUUAUUUUAAAUAAUCUGUUUGACAGACCAAAUUCGAGAAUCUUAUAAUAAAUGUUGUUUUGUUU